Non-coding RNA from Acanthosepion pharaonis, 115 nucleotides. NCBI's taxonomy places the organism in Eukaryota, Metazoa, Mollusca, Cephalopoda, Sepiida, Sepiidae. The record is from the annotation of a GenBank genome assembly.
CUGCCAUAUCACGUUGAAACACUGGUUCCUAUACGAUCCGAUCACCAAAGUUAAACAACGUCGAGCCUGGUUAAUACCUAGACGGGUGACCGCUUGGGAAUAUCAGAUGCUGAAA